Long non-coding RNA from Drosophila montana, 683 nucleotides. RefSeq lists it as uncharacterized. The transcript has 2 exons. The record is from RefSeq and is a predicted model, not a curated record. NCBI's taxonomy places the organism in Eukaryota, Metazoa, Arthropoda, Insecta, Diptera, Drosophilidae.
UUUUCCCUCGGUUUUUUGCUGCUGCUGCUGCUACGACAACGAAAAAGAGAAAGACUUGUGGGUAGAAAACCAACAAAGUAAGACUAUAAAGUACGGCGCAGAGCGCACCAGAGGACUUGGAAUGGCAGCGGGGGUGAUGGUCGGUGUGGCGAGGGGAUGGCGUUGGCAGCGGCAGCGGCAACAGCAAACAAAAUUUAAGAUACUUUUUCGUUUGAGUGGAUGUGCAGCAGCUCUGGAUGCGAGAUCUGCGAGCUCUUGGCUCUGGCUGUUGGAAACAUGUUGAAAUGAAAUUGGUGAACGACGGCAACGGCGACGGCGACGACGACGCUGCUGUUCGAGUGCCGGUUCGGGUUUGGCGCAGAUGAAUGUGGAACGCCAGCCGCCAACAGACGUGGACGACCCAAGACCCGAGACCAGAGACAAGAGACCGAAAACCAGAGACCAGAGCGACCAGCUGUUGGCCUUGUGCUGUUAAUGCCUUGCAGUUGCUCUAGCUGUAUCUGGCAUUAUUUUUGGAGAUGUCGGCGACGGCGACGGCAACGGCGUCGUUGGCGGUGGCGGCGGCGGCGGCUGCGAUGUCUGUUGUUGUCGUUUCAGCCCCUCUGAUGGAUGACUCGACACAACGCUUGACUCGACUCGACUCGACUCGACGCUAUUGAGUAAAAAUGAUCAAAACAACAAAA